RNAcentral lists this long non-coding RNA (518 nucleotides) under Amborella trichopoda. Its description in RNAcentral is "long non-coding RNA (ATRI_LNC002341)". The record is from RNAcentral. Lineage: Eukaryota; Viridiplantae; Streptophyta; Magnoliopsida; Amborellales; Amborellaceae.
UCCUUUCAAACGCCCCACCCACUGGCCGUAAGGGACAGUAGCCAGAGUGAGGGCCGCUGCCAAUACGCUCAUUCAUGUCUUGGAUGGGUCGACCCUCAACCCCGGGCUCAACAUGUGCCGCUUCCCAAUGAAGAAUAGACCAUAUAAUCAAAUAGAGACUCCAUCUCAGGCUCAAGAACCAAAACGCAGAAAUAAUAAAAAAAAAGGGGUCAAACUUCGGCCACAAAUCUCUCUCCAAUUCUCCAGAUAAUCAAGAGUGUAUAUCAUAGGAAAAGCGGGAGGGGCAGAUCCUCUACCUUGCUUGGUCUCUCAUUUUUGGUUGGCAUUCACAGCUCUCCAAAAAUGAGUCGCAUUACUGUAAGAGUGUUUCUUUACGUUCCACCAAAACCAGUAAGUCUCAGUUGCUAAUGUGGGACCACGAAUUUGCUCACCCCAGUCAUAUCAAAGCAACUUGACUAGGCUGCCUUCACAUGACUGUCCUCCCAUGCCUCACGUCUCCCAUAAGGCCCAACUUCCUC